GAUGAACGCUGGCGGCGUGCCUAAUACAUGCAAGUCGAGCGAACGGACGAGAAGCUUGCUUCUCUGAUGUUAGCGGCGGACGGGUGAGUAACACGUGGAUAACCUACCUAUAAGACUGGGAUAACUUCGGGAAACCGGAGCUAAUACCGGAUAAUAUUUUGAACCGCAUGGUUCAAAAGUGAAAGACGGUCUUGCUGUCACUUAUAGAUGGAUCCGCGCUGCAUUAGCUAGUUGGUAAGGUAACGGCUUACCAAGGCAACGAUGCAUAGCCGACCUGAGAGGGUGAUCGGCCACACUGGAACUGAGACACGGUCCAGACUCCUACGGGAGGCAGCAGUAGGGAAUCUUCCGCAAUGGGCGAAAGCCUGACGGAGCAACGCCGCGUGAGUGAUGAAGGUCUUCGGAUCGUAAAACUCUGUUAUUAGGGAAGAACAUAUGUGUAAGUAACUGUGCACAUCUUGACGGUACCUAAUCAGAAAGCCACGGCUAACUACGUGCCAGCAGCCGCGGUAAUACGUAGGUGGCAAGCGUUAUCCGGAAUUAUUGGGCGUAAAGCGCGCGUAGGCGGUUUUUUAAGUCUGAUGUGAAAGCCCACGGCUCAACCGUGGGAGGGUCAUUGGAAACUGGAAAACUUGAGUGCAGAAGAGGAAAGUGGAAUUCCAUGUGUAGCGGUGAAAUGCGCAGAGAUAUGGAGGAACACCAGUGGCGAAGGCGACUUUCUGGUCUGUAACUGACGCUGAUGUGCGAAAGCGUGGGGAUCAAACAGGAUUAGAUACCCUGGUAGUCCACGCCGUAAACGAUGAGUGCUAAGUGUUAGGGGGUUUCCGCCCCUUAGUGCUGCAGCUAACGCAUUAAGCACUCCGCCUGGGGAGUACGACCGCAAGGUUGAAACUCAAAGGAAUUGACGGGGACCCGCACAAGCGGUGGAGCAUGUGGUUUAAUUCGAAGCAACGCGAAGAACCUUACCAAAUCUUGACAUCCUUUGACAACUCUAGAGAUAGAGCCUUCCCCUUCGGGGGACAAAGUGACAGGUGGUGCAUGGUUGUCGUCAGCUCGUGUCGUGAGAUGUUGGGUUAAGUCCCGCAACGAGCGCAACCCUUAAGCUUAGUUGCCAUCAUUAAGUUGGGCACUCUAAGUUGACUGCCGGUGACAAACCGGAGGAAGGUGGGGAUGACGUCAAAUCAUCAUGCCCCUUAUGAUUUGGGCUACACACGUGCUACAAUGGACAAUACAAAGGGCAGCGAAACCGCGAGGUCAAGCAAAUCCCAUAAAGUUGUUCUCAGUUCGGAUUGUAGUCUGCAACUCGACUACAUGAAGCUGGAAUCGCUAGUAAUCGUAGAUCAGCAUGCUACGGUGAAUACGUUCCCGGGUCU
This 1373-nucleotide ribosomal RNA is filed under the name uncultured bacterium. Its description in RNAcentral is "bacterial SSU rRNA". It matches the Rfam family "Bacterial small subunit ribosomal RNA", at positions 28 to 1381 of the family's 1533-position model. The record is from RNAcentral.